RNAcentral lists this ribosomal RNA (299 nucleotides) under uncultured Anaerolineaceae bacterium. RNAcentral's name for it is "partial 16S ribosomal RNA". It matches the Rfam family "Bacterial small subunit ribosomal RNA", at positions 1070 to 1382 of the family's 1533-position model. The record is from RNAcentral. Lineage: Bacteria; Bacillati; Chloroflexota; Anaerolineae; Anaerolineales; Anaerolineaceae.
GAGUGUUCGGUUAAGUCCGCUAACGAGCGCAACCCUCGCUGUAUGUUACAUGUGUCAUACAGGACCGCCGGUAUCAAGCCGGAGGAAGGUGGGGAUGACGUCAAGUCCGCAUGGCCUUUAUGUCCGGGGCUACACACACGCUACAAUGGUCGGUACAAUGGGUUGCUAAGCCGCGAGGUGGAGCCAAUCCCCCAAAGCCGGCCUCAGUUCAGAUUGCAGGCUGCAACUCGCCUGCAUGAAGCUGGAGUUGCUAGUAAACGCGCGUCAGCUAUAGUGCGUUGAAUACGUUCUCGGGCCUU